RNA transcript from Patella vulgata (common limpet), 406 nucleotides. RefSeq lists it as uncharacterized. The transcript is spliced from 4 exons. Lineage: Eukaryota; Metazoa; Mollusca; Gastropoda; Patellidae. The record is from RefSeq and is a predicted model, not a curated record.
UUUCCGAAUGUGAUCCAAUUAUAUAACAAAAAUGGCGUCCAACAUGUUUCUUUAUUGGGGCACUGGCAGUGUUCCCUGCUGGAAAGCAAUGAUAGCUUUAGAAGAGAAGGGAUUCGGUGGUUAUCAAAACAAACUUAUCUCAUUCGACAACGAAGAAAACAAAGCAGAGUAUGUCACGAAACUGAACCCUCGUGGACAGGUGCCAGCAUUUAAAGAUGGAGAUAUUGUUGUGAAUGAGUCUUGGGCCAUUUGUGAUUACUUGGAGCGUAGAUAUGGCAACCAAGGAACACAACUGAUUCCAUCCGAUGUCAAGGAACAAGCUAAUGUUUUACAAAGGAUGUAUGAAAUAUUUAAUGUAGAAAAUACAGUAUUAAAAGAACUGGCUUAUUAUUAUAUGUUUGAUACC